RNAcentral lists this ribosomal RNA (465 nucleotides) under Vreelandella stevensii. RNAcentral describes it as "partial 16S ribosomal RNA". It matches the Rfam family "Bacterial small subunit ribosomal RNA", at positions 338 to 795 of the family's 1533-position model. Lineage: Bacteria; Pseudomonadati; Pseudomonadota; Gammaproteobacteria; Oceanospirillales; Halomonadaceae. The record is from RNAcentral.
CCUACGGGGGGCUGCAGUGGGGAAUAUUGGACAAUGGGGGCAACCCUGAUCCAGCCAUGCCGCGUGUGUGAAGAAGGCCCUCGGGUUGUAAAGCACUUUCAGUGAGGAAGAACGCCUGGUGGUUAAUACCCAGCAGGAAAGACAUCACUCACAGAAGAAGCACCGGCUAACUCCGUGCCAGCAGCCGCGGUAAUACGGAGGGUGCGAGCGUUAAUCGGAAUUACUGGGCGUAAAGCGCGCGUAGGUGGCUUGAUAAGCCGGUUGUGAAAGCCCCGGGCUCAACCUGGGAACGGCAUCCGGAACUGUCAAGCUAGAGUGCAGGAGAGGAAGGUAGAAUUCCCGGUGUAGCGGUGAAAUGCGUAGAGAUCGGGAGGAAUACCAGUGGCGAAGGCGGCCUUCUGGACUGACACUGACACUGAGGUGCGAAAGCGUGGGUAGCAAACAGGAUUAGAUACCCUAGUAGUC